This 253-nucleotide ribosomal RNA is filed under the name uncultured bacterium. RNAcentral's name for it is "partial 16S ribosomal RNA". It matches the Rfam family "Bacterial small subunit ribosomal RNA", at positions 524 to 776 of the family's 1533-position model. The record is from RNAcentral.
UACGAAGGGGGCUAGCGUUGCUCGGAAUUACUGGGCGUAAAGCGCACGUAGGCGGAUUGUUAAGUCGGGGGUGAAAUCCCGGAGCUCAACUCCGGAACUGCCUUCGAUACUGUCGAGCUCGAGUCCGGAAGAGGCGAGUGGAAUUCCUGGUGUAGCGGUGAAAUGCGCAGAUAUCAGGAGGAACACCAAUGGCGAAGGCAGCUCGCUGGGACGGUACUGACACUGAGACGCGAAAGCGUGGGGAGCAAACAGG